Regulatory RNA element from Jannaschia aquimarina, 95 nucleotides. It matches the Rfam family "Rhodo-rpoB RNA". Lineage: Bacteria; Pseudomonadati; Pseudomonadota; Alphaproteobacteria; Rhodobacterales; Roseobacteraceae. The record is from Rfam.
AGGACGGGGGGCACGCCUGUGGGACGGCGCGCCGGAAUUGUCCGACUUCGAAGACCCAUUUCAGGUGGCUGGUCCGGUGCCCGACGGACCCGUCC